GACAGUUUUACAGCGAUUCCUUCUUCCAACGGCAGCCCACGAUGUGUUGUAAGACAUCGAGACCUGGAUGUCUACAUGGACCACUUCUCUGAAUUUUGGAUUGUAGCUCUCAUCACAUGGGUAUUCAUCGGAAAACGUGUUAUUUGUACACCGUUCAUUCCAGUGUUAACUCCGAGAAAUGCAAAACACGUGAUGUUCGUCCAUGUAAGGGAUGAAAACAUUGAAGAAAAGGUGCAGUAUGGAUAUAUGGCUCCGAUCACCGGAGAGCAAUUCUUAGUUAAGUGGCGUUCUGGAGGAUUAAGGAUAACUUGCAACGAAAGCACCCCCAUGGAAGACGAGGUCACGACUCUACAGGAAAGUGAGAUUCGCCAUCUGACUGAGCACAAAGUGAUGUACACAGUGGAUACACGAGCCACUGACACGAAUGAAGUGAUAUUACACUUCAUCAUGAAACAAAGCACAACAAAGCAGCUACUGGUUCCC
This is a long non-coding RNA of Strongylocentrotus purpuratus (purple sea urchin), 483 nucleotides long. RefSeq lists it as uncharacterized. The record is from RefSeq and is a predicted model, not a curated record. The transcript has 3 exons. Lineage: Eukaryota; Metazoa; Echinodermata; Echinoidea; Camarodonta; Strongylocentrotidae.